This is a long non-coding RNA of Taeniopygia guttata (zebra finch), 1797 nucleotides long. The record is from Ensembl. NCBI's taxonomy places the organism in Eukaryota, Metazoa, Chordata, Aves, Passeriformes, Estrildidae.
UUUUUUUUGUUUUUUUUUUUUAUUCUUGUUCUUUGCCAAUCAUAGUACAUUGUCUCCAUCCAUUUCUACCCAGGCUGGUAUUACUGACAGGCAGCUGAUUUGGCUGGUACUUGGGUUCUACUGGACUCCCCUUUUGAUAUCUCCUCAUGGAAGUACUGCACCAUAAAUCACCCAGCUAUAGCUUUGUCAGCAUGGUUAUGCUUUCACCAGUGCCACAGAGAGUAAAAAAAAAAAAAAAAACAAACAAAAAAACCCCUAGCCUUCUCUCUUUGUAUAUUUAGAGACUAAGAGAUAUAUGCUCUUCCCUGCUGCAGCUGCUGCCUGCCAAUGCUGUUUUCAAUUGGGCACACAUUAUCCAGGUUUAAUUUAAAUUUUAUAUCCAAAUAGUCUCACCCCAAUAGAAAGCAGACUUGGAAUGUCUAUUUUUGAAGGAAAUCUGCAAUUUGGGAUCUGCAGUCUUAGUGACUCAGUGGGCAUAGGUUUGAUAAAAACUGGAACUUGAAAGAUACACCACAGCCUGAUACAAGGCAAUACGUAUUACAGGUCAGGAUUACAAGGCAACAGAAUUCUAAGUUUUAACUGAAAAGCAUCAAAUGGUGAAAAAUAUGAGGGCUCACACUGACAGAACAGGACUGUGAAUGAGUAGCCACUAUUCAUUCAAAAAAUCACACCUAAAAGACAAAAGUCUCAAGACUGCAAUGAGAUAAUCUAAUGUGAAUACCCUUAAACUGUCCAUGAAACCAUGUGCAUACAAAUGAAAAUCAAGUUGUUGUUGGUUUUUUGUUCUGAAAGAUAUUACAUGAAAGUAACAAUCACCUUUCUCUAUCAAGACUUGAGUUGAAGGGUCUGAAAUUGUCAUCACAGUUAACAGCAGCAGGCACACCACAGCAAAGCCUGAAGAAACAACAUAAAAAUCAGUCAGUGUAGAACUUUGUAAUUUCUGGCAAUAACUGGAAGUCCAGAGGGCAAUAAAACUGAAGGAAGACAGAAGGGAAUUUAUCAGGAAUACCAGAAACCUGGGGUGCAGAGAACCAGGGAAGUGAGCAAGCUGCUUUUCUGAUGAAUGUUGCAUUUUCUGCUGGGAGUCCAUAGGGAUUGCUGCAUUACAUUUGGUAUCUGGGGAGCUUUUGGGAUGCAUCCAAGAAACAGAUCUUCCUUUGUGGCAUGCUCCCAUGAAGGCCCUCAUUUAAAUCCUGGGCAUUGUCAAAAUACUGGUUGAUUUCAGUAUUUUAUCCUCCAUGCCAACCCAAGCAUUUAAAAGUUCCUGCUGUAUAAAUGAGGAAAAAGUACAGGAAGCCAAAAAUAAAGCAGCAUACUGGUACUGUUGUCUUACAAAUACUUGGCAUUAUAUACUCUGCUGUGGUAAAGCCACUGUUUUUCCACUGAACAUUUUAAACCAAGUUUAAAGUAAUAUAAAGAACUAUAGAAAUUACACUGCAUAACCUGAUUAAGCAGCACCAAAAUCAGCCUCCAGCCCAGAAAUUGCCUAUAAACUGAUGGCAAAUGCACAGCUCAGUGCUGGACUUAGAUGAUUUCAGUUGUAUACAUUUUCUUCUGCAAGCUUUGCUCCAUCUUUGGUUUUUGGCUCACAUGUAGUUGCUAUUUCUGUUGUAGAUCAUGGUAAACUUUGCAACAUCAGAAUAUUUCAGAUGUAAAUGGCCGUUUAUUUGGAGAACAGAAAUAUGUUAUAUGGUCCUAAAGGCCCCACAGGCUUCCGAGUAUAAAUGUUUUCUGACUACUGGCUUCUGUUUUCCUGCUAUGAACUGUACUAUGCCUUUACAUAAAGAAACCUUGUUC